RNAcentral lists this ribosomal RNA (305 nucleotides) under uncultured bacterium. RNAcentral describes it as "bacterial SSU rRNA". It matches the Rfam family "Bacterial small subunit ribosomal RNA", at positions 338 to 640 of the family's 1533-position model. The record is from RNAcentral.
CCUACGGGGGGCAGCAGUGAGGAAUAUUGGUCAAUGGACUAAGGCCUGAACCAGCCAAGUCGCGUGAGGGAAGACGGUCCUAUGGAUUGUAAACCUCUUUUGUCGGGGAGCAACGAGGCCACGUGUGGCCGAAGUGAGAGUACCCGAAGAAAAAGCAUCGGCUAACUCCGUGCCAGCAGCCGCGGUAAUACGGGGGGUGCAAGCGUUGUCCGGAAUCAUUGGGCGUAAAGCGUUCGUAGGCGGCAAGGUAAGUCUGAUGUUAAAGCCCGGGGCUCAACUCCGGUUCGGCAUUGGAUACUAUCUAG